Molecule: small nuclear RNA, 105 nt
Organism: Ursus americanus (American black bear)
Lineage: Eukaryota; Metazoa; Chordata; Mammalia; Carnivora; Ursidae
Source: Ensembl
AUAAACUUUUUUUUUUUAAGUGCAGAUUUCUGGAACAAUACAGAGAAGAUUAGCAUGGCCCCUGCGGCAGACGACACACAAAUUCAUGAAGCCUUCCCUAUUUAA